RNAcentral lists this long non-coding RNA (407 nucleotides) under Lotus japonicus. RNAcentral's name for it is "long non-coding RNA (LJAP_LNC000255)". Lineage: Eukaryota; Viridiplantae; Streptophyta; Magnoliopsida; Fabales; Fabaceae. The record is from RNAcentral.
GAAAUAUGGGAUGGUGGAGGAGGACUCUUGUAAUAGUAUGGAGGUGGAGGUGAUGGGGAUGGCGGUGGAGGUGAUUUGUAGUAGUAGGGUGGUGGUGGAGAUGGUGAUGGUGGAGGUGGAGAUUUGUAGUAGUAGGGGGGAGGAGGAUAGGGAGAUGGUGGAGGGGGACUCUUGUAGUAGUAUGGAGGGGGAGGUGAUGGGGAUGGUGGUGGGGGAGAUUUAUAAUAGUAUGGAGGGGGAGGAGAUGGUGAUGGUGGGGGUGGUGACUUAUAGUUGUAUGGAGGGUGUGAGAUUUCUUUGGGUGGAGGAGGAGAUUUAUAAUAGUAAGGUGGGGGUGGAGAUGGUGAUGGUGGAGAUGGUGACUUAUAAUAAUAUGGUGGAGGAGGGGAUGGUGAUGGUGGGGGUGN